Molecule: long non-coding RNA, 616 nt
Organism: Wasmannia auropunctata (little fire ant)
Lineage: Eukaryota; Metazoa; Arthropoda; Insecta; Hymenoptera; Formicidae
Exons: 4
Source: RefSeq, a predicted model, not a curated record
AUAUUAUAUUCCUUACAAAAGAUAUUCAGCGGAAAAAAAAGUAAAUGCCAAAGGUAAACUUUACGACAAGUAUACAAAUUAUCUUAAACAUCUACGCAAAAGUGGAUUAAGAUAAAAAAGAAAGAGAAAUUCUUCGGCAAAUUCUGAAUCAGAUGUAAUUUUAAACGAUGACUUGAUUGGAAAGCUUGAGUGGCUUCGUAAUCAUAAAGAUCCAUAUGAAGAAGUAAAAGAAAAAUGGGAUGCUACAUAUGAAAUACGAUUAGCACAAUUGCGACAGGGAACAGGCAGCGUACAUGAUUAUAUUACCGAAUAUGGUGCUCUUCAGUUGACAACUGGCUACAAAUUACUUCUAUCAGAUUUUAAGAAAUUAUAUUUGGAAUAUGAUAUGCGAAUGUGGAGUAAAUGGGCGGAGUUUGCAAGAAAAUUAUCAUUACUAUUGUGUUUGGAAGAUAAUUCUGAUUUAAAUCUUCUAUUAAAAUUAGGACAUCUCUUUACUCCAGUUCCUGUGCCAUUAACAAAUGGUAAGAGAUGGAAGCCUACUACGCAGGAGAUGAUAGAUGGGUUUAUUCUUCAUGUGAAGGUAAAUUAUUUAAAAUAUUGUAUUUACGAUUAACUU